UGUUGUGAGUUUCAGAUUCAACUUCAACACAAUCUGUAUCUGUGUUGUGAGUUUCAGAUUCAAAACACAAUCUGUAGUAUAAAGGGUGUUGUGAGUUUCAGAUUCAACUUCAACACAAUCUGUAGUAUAAAGGGUGUUGUGAGUUUCAGAUUCAACUUCAACACAAUCUGUAGUAUAAAGGGUGUUGUGAGUUUCAGAUUCAACUUCAACUCUGUAGUAUAAACACAAUCUGUAGUAUAAAGGGUGUUGUGAGUUUCAGAUUCAACUUCAACACAAUCUGUAGUAUAAAGGGUGUUGUGAGUUUCAGAUUCAACUUCAACACAAUCUGUAGUAUAAAGGGUGUUGUGAGUUUCAGAUUCAACUUCAACACAAUCUGUAGUAUAAAGGGUGUUGUGAGUUUCAGAUUCAACUUCAACACAAUCUGUAGUAUAAAGGGUGUUGUGAGUUUCAGAUUCAACUUCAACACAAUCUGUAGUAUAAAGGGUGUUGUGAGUUUCAGAUUCAACUUCAACACAAUCUGUAGUCCAAAGGGUGUUGUGAGUUUCAGAUUCAACUUCAACACAAUCUGUAGUCCAAAGGGUG
Long non-coding RNA from Haliotis rubra (blacklip abalone), 582 nucleotides. RefSeq lists it as uncharacterized. The transcript has 3 exons. The record is from RefSeq and is a predicted model, not a curated record. Lineage: Eukaryota; Metazoa; Mollusca; Gastropoda; Lepetellida; Haliotidae.